This 279-nucleotide ribosomal RNA is filed under the name uncultured bacterium. RNAcentral describes it as "partial 16S ribosomal RNA". It matches the Rfam family "Bacterial small subunit ribosomal RNA", at positions 506 to 784 of the family's 1533-position model. The record is from RNAcentral.
UGCCAGCAGCCGCGGUAAUACGGAGGGUGCAAGCGUUGUUCGGAAUUACUGGGCGUAAAGCGCACGUAGGCGGAUUAGUAAGUUAGGGGUGAAAUCCCGGGGCUCAACCCCGGAACUGCCUCUAAUACUGCUAGUCUUGAGUUCGAGAGAGGUGAGUGGAAUUCCCAGUGUAGAGGUGAAAUUCGUAGAUAUUGGGAAGAACACCAGUGGCGAAGGCGGCUAACUGGCUCGGUACUGACGCUGAGAUGCGAAAGCGUGGGGAGCAAACAGGAUUAGAUA